RNAcentral lists this ribosomal RNA (467 nucleotides) under Pseudoalteromonas sp. RNAcentral's name for it is "partial 16S ribosomal RNA". It matches the Rfam family "Bacterial small subunit ribosomal RNA", at positions 46 to 512 of the family's 1533-position model. The record is from RNAcentral. Lineage: Bacteria; Pseudomonadati; Pseudomonadota; Gammaproteobacteria; Alteromonadales; Pseudoalteromonadaceae.
GCCNNUAUGCAGUCGAGCGGUAACAGAGAGUAGCUUGCUACUUUGCUGACGAGCGGCGGACGGGUGAGUAAUGCUUGGGAACAUGCCUUGAGGUGGGGGACAACAGUUGGAAACGACUGCUAAUACCGCAUAAUGUCUACGGACCAAAGGGGGCUUCGGCUCUCGCCUUUAGAUUGGCCCAAGUGGGAUUAGCUAGUUGGUGAGGUAAUGGCUCACCAAGGCGACGAUCCCUAGCUGGUUUGAGAGGAUGAUCAGCCACACUGGGACUGAGACACGGCCCAGACUCCUACGGGAGGCAGCANUGGGGAAUAUUGCACAAUGGGCGCAAGCCUGAUGCAGCCAUGCCGCGUGUGUGAAGAAGGCCUUCNGGUUGUAAAGCACUUUCAGUCNCGAGGAAAGGUUAANGGUUAAUACCCGUUAGCUGUGACGUUACNGANACAANAAGCACCGGCUAACUCCNUGCCAGC